This 481-nucleotide long non-coding RNA is filed under the name Androctonus crassicauda. The record is from RNAcentral. Lineage: Eukaryota; Metazoa; Arthropoda; Arachnida; Scorpiones; Buthidae.
CUUAAUUUUAUUUUUAUGUAUUCACAAUUGAAGAACCGUAAAGCAGUUGAAUAAUAUACAAAAGGAGUCAUCUGAUCCUAAGUUGUACCCUAAACAUUAUAAACAAAUUUUAAAAUGAUUUUUUUUAUUAUUAUUCGCUAAUGACAUAUUCGUAAUUUUAAGAGAAAAUACGAGAAAAAUAUAGCGGCAUAUAUAUUGAGUAGUUUUAAAUAAUCAAUAUCGGCGUAUAUUAUAUACAAAUAUGGAUCAACUAGUUCUUGGCAAGGAAUUGCCAAAUUUAAAAAUCACUUUAGCAGGAUUGGACUCGAAUAAUGCAGCUCCCUGUACAGAUACCAUUGAUAUUAUGGAAGUUGAUGAAAUUCAAGACGAGAAGGAUGCUGAUACGGAUGAAAAAGUUAAGGUUGAAGUAAAAGUAGAAUUCAUGCCUUACAAGGUUAAAAAAAUUUUCAUUUUUAUAAUUAAUAAACGUUUACUUAAUGCA